RNAcentral lists this non-coding RNA (109 nucleotides) under Streptomyces sp. SAT1. RNAcentral's name for it is "Streptomyces RNA 4115". It matches the Rfam family "Streptomyces RNA 4115". Rfam says of the family: Identified by deep sequencing of transcriptome at the end of exponential growth phase. Sequencing size consistent with notrthern blot size. Lineage: Bacteria; Bacillati; Actinomycetota; Actinomycetes; Kitasatosporales; Streptomycetaceae. The record is from Rfam by way of RNAcentral.
GCGUGGGUCGGCCCGCUGUACUGGAUCCAGUGGGCUGGGGGACACCGCCGCCUUCAUCCCCGCGGGCGGCGGAACGGUCCGGGAGGCCAACCGCGCCUCCCGGACUGCG